GAAAAUAUAAAAACAAGAGUCAUGUUCGUUUGCUUUUUUGUGCGCAUGUGCGUGAUUCGUGCAUGCGCA
Maniola jurtina (meadow brown) is the source of this 69-nucleotide long non-coding RNA. RefSeq lists it as uncharacterized. The transcript is spliced from 3 exons. NCBI's taxonomy places the organism in Eukaryota, Metazoa, Arthropoda, Insecta, Lepidoptera, Nymphalidae. The record is from RefSeq and is a predicted model, not a curated record.